AUUGAACGCUGGCGGCAGGCCUAACACAUGCAAGUCGAACGAGUGGCGGACGGGUGAGUAAUGUCUGGGAAACUGCCCGAUGGAGGGGGAUAACUACUGGAAACGGUAGCUAAUACCGCAUACCAUCGGAUGUGCCCAGAUGGGAUUAGCUAGUAGGGGGGGUAACGGCUCACCUAGGCGACGAUCCCUAGCUGGGCUGAGAGGAUGACCAGCCACACUGGAACGGAGACACGGUCCAGACUCCUACGGGAGGCAGCAGUGGGGAAUAUGGGAAAAGGGGCGAAGGCCUGAUGCGGCAAUGCGGGGGGGAUGAAAAAGGCCUUCGGGUUGUAAAGUACUUUCAGCGAGGAGGCGGUACUCGCAGAAGAAGCACCGGCUAACUCCGUGCCAGCAGCCGCGGUAAUAC
Molecule: ribosomal RNA, 406 nt
Filed under: uncultured bacterium
Lineage: Bacteria
Description: partial 16S ribosomal RNA
Rfam family: Bacterial small subunit ribosomal RNA
Source: RNAcentral